Molecule: unclassified non-coding RNA, 362 nt
Filed under: uncultured bacterium
Lineage: Bacteria
Description: contains 16S-23S intergenic spacer region
Source: RNAcentral
UCCCCGUUACCGGGGCAGUCUAGCUAGAAAAAUUCAACUAACUACAAGGGUUGCGCUCGUUGAUGGACUUAACCAAACAUCUCACGACACGAGCUGACGACGGCCAUGCAGCACCUGUCACUACGGUCCGAAGACACUCUCUGCUUUCGCAGAAAUUAGUAGGAUGUCAAGCCCUGGUAAGGUUCUUCGCUUAUCAUCGAAUUAAACAACACGCUCCACCGCUUGUGCGGGUCCCCGUCAAUUCCUUUAUGUUUUAGCCUUGCGGCCGUACUCCACAGGCGGGAUGCUUAACGCGUUAGCUUCGCUACUACUCGGGUCGAUACGAAUAACAGCUAGCAUCCAUCGUUUACGGCGUGGACUAC